RNAcentral lists this ribosomal RNA (366 nucleotides) under uncultured bacterium. RNAcentral's name for it is "partial 16S ribosomal RNA". It matches the Rfam family "Bacterial small subunit ribosomal RNA", at positions 338 to 701 of the family's 1533-position model. The record is from RNAcentral.
CCUACGGGUGGCAGCAGUGAGGAAUAUUGGUCAAUGGCCGGAAGGCUGAACCAGCCAUGCCGCGUGAAGGGCAGGGACCUAUGGGCGUUAAACUUCUUUUGUGCGGGAGCAAGAAUGGUCACGUGUGGCCAGACGAGAGUACCGUACGAAUAAGCAGCGGCUAACUCCGUGCCAGCAGCCGCGGUAAUACGGGGGAUGCAAGCGUUAUCCGGAUUUAUGGGGUUUAAAGGGUGCGUAGGCUGGGAAGUAAGGCAGCGGUGAAAUGCCCCCGCUCAACGGGGUGAAGUGCCAUUGAUACUGCCUUGCUGGACUGCGGAUGCCGUGGGAUGAAUGUGUGGUGUAGCGGUGAAAUGCAUAGAUAUCACG